GAUGAACGCUGGCGGCGUGCCUAAUACAUGCAAGUCGAGCGAACAGACGAGGAGCUUGCUCCUUUGACGUUAGCGGCGGACGGGUGAGUAACACGUGGGUAACCUACCUAUAAGACUGGGAUAACUUCGGGAAACCGGAGCUAAUACCGGAUAAUAUUUCGAACCGCAUGGUUCGAUAGUGAAAGAUGGCUUUGCUAUCACUUAUAGAUGGACCUGCGCCGUAUUAGCUAGUUGGUAAGGUAACGGCUUACCAAGGCAACGAUACGUAGCCGACCUGAGAGCGUGAAGGGCCAAACCAGAACUGAGACCCGGUCCAGACUCCUACGGGAGGCACCAGUAGGGAAUCUGCCGCAAUGGGCGAAAGCCUGACGGAGCAACACCGCGUGAGUGCUGAAGGUCUUCGGAUCGGAAAACUCUGUUAAUAGGGAAGAACAAACGUGUACGUAACUGUGCACGUCUUGACGGUACCUAAUCAGAAAGCCACGGCUAACUACGUU
RNAcentral lists this ribosomal RNA (497 nucleotides) under uncultured bacterium. Its description in RNAcentral is "partial 16S ribosomal RNA". It matches the Rfam family "Bacterial small subunit ribosomal RNA", at positions 28 to 507 of the family's 1533-position model. The record is from RNAcentral.